This 200-nucleotide long non-coding RNA is filed under the name Elaeis guineensis (African oil palm). RNAcentral's name for it is "long non-coding RNA (EGUI_LNC077332)". The record is from RNAcentral. Lineage: Eukaryota; Viridiplantae; Streptophyta; Magnoliopsida; Arecales; Arecaceae.
UGGAUAGGGGAUGUAAGAAUUGAAUUAUCACCCCAUCUGCCGUCUCCUAUUUAUAGCACCAAAUGGGGUACUAACAGAGAAGGCAUGCCUCAUCUAGAAAGGUAUAUCAAGUCCUCGUAUAACUUAUCUGAGAGUCCUUAAACAGAAGGACACUUCAGGGGGUGAUACGUCGAUUCCUGCCUUCUCAUACGUGCACACCC